AUUCUAGCUACGAUUUCAGAUGUCCUGAGAUCUCCGAAGCCAACCAAUUUUUGCACAAGUCGUGGUCCAGCAUCUAGUCCUCUGGCCUCCUACAACAUCCAAAAGAAACCAUGAAAUAUGCAUGUUGUCAUUUUAUGCCCGUGCAAACCCUAGCACCGCCACUCAAGAGUCGUCGAGCACAGUGAUGGACUAUUCACCUACCCAUGACAAUGGCCAUUUAGUCCAGUGUGCCCGCCACAGUUUUCCUUUUGAAAGAGGUGCUGCUAGGGACGAGUGUAACGCCUUUGUGGUUCCAACUCUAUUUAGUGCCGGAUGUGUGCAAAAAUGUUUGGAUCGCUACCAUCAGGUGUGCAAGGAAUGGCUCCUAAUAAUGCACAAGGCCUAACCUACUAUUACAUUUGAUUUGUUGUGCUGGAACUGGCCAUAUAUGUUCUUUUCAUGAGAUGAGGUACAUAAAACUGCUUCCGAAAUAUAAAGAUGCUGAUCUAAAUGAUGUAUUUUCUCUAAAAGAAAGACGGGUAUCCUCAAUCACAGAUCUAUGACAAUGUAUCCUAUAACAUUCAAUAGACCUCUGCAACUUGAUUUCUACAUCAAAUUCUACUCAACCUGCCAAAGGUAACCUUGAAAUUUACAACAACAAAGCGACAUUUCCAGAUACAAAUCAAGUCAUCGUGGAAGAAUCAUUACUUCUAACUAUCAAAGUAUAGAGCAGACUACUAGCCACAAGUUGUAAACUUACAAUAUUGUGAUGCCGCAUUACAAGAAAAAAAUUUCUUGCACCUAAAACAUAAACUUGAGAUUCAGGCAAUUGCAUAUGAAGUUAGUAUGUCAAGAGUAAGAUGAUACUGAACUUGUAUAGACCACUACAAACAAAUCUACAAAUCUUAGCCAAUGCAAACACAUAAAAUUCAUAUGGAUCAACUUAGACUCAAUGAACUUGGAUUACAGACUACCUCUUGUGUAGCACUAAAGUAUCCUGAAUCUGCCAGCACAAAACUAAAAACAAGUCAUUGAAACCUAGAUGGAGUAGCAGCACUUAGCAAUGUACACUCUGCUAUCGAAGCAGACCAACUGCAUCUAAUUAUCACCCAGUCUGCCAAUAUUAUACAAAUUCUGACAAGAUUAAUGAGGCCAUGUAGACACUCAGCAACUAACUAUCGUAACACUGCAGACUAUAUUAGCAGGAUGGUUGAAGGCCUUGAGAAAAUUCCACUAUACAACCAAAGUCGAUUCAAAUCCAAGUCUGAAAGCUUCCAAUCACCAUGAAGAAAAUCACCAUCUACUCUAUUUUUCUGAGAUCUG
Long non-coding RNA from Rosa rugosa (rugosa rose), 1302 nucleotides. RefSeq lists it as uncharacterized. The record is from RefSeq and is a predicted model, not a curated record. The transcript is spliced from 2 exons. NCBI's taxonomy places the organism in Eukaryota, Viridiplantae, Streptophyta, Magnoliopsida, Rosales, Rosaceae.